CCUACGGGUGGCAGCAGUGGGGAAUAUUGCACAAUGGGCGCAAGCCUGAUGCAGCCAUGCCGCGCGUGUAAAGAAGGCCUUCGGGUUGUAAAGCACUUUCAGCGGGGAGGAAGGCGGUGAGGUUAAUAACCUCAUCGAUUGACGUUACCCGCAGAAGAAGCACCGGCUAACUCCGUGCCAGCAGCCGCGGUAAUACGGAGGGUGCAAGCGUUAAUCGGAAUUACUGGGCGUAAAGCGCACGCAGGCGGUCUGUCAAGUCGGAUGUGAAAUCCCCGGGCUCAACCUGGGAACUGCAUUCGAAACUGGCAGGCUAGAGUCUUGUAGAGGGGGGUAGAAUUCCAGGUGUAGCGGUGAAAUGCGUAGAGAUCUGGAGGAAUACCGGUGGCGAAGGCGGCCCCCUGGACAAAGACUGACGCUCAGGUGCGAAAGCGUGGGGAGCAAACAGGAUUAGAUACCCUUGUAGUC
RNAcentral lists this ribosomal RNA (465 nucleotides) under uncultured Klebsiella sp. Its description in RNAcentral is "bacterial SSU rRNA". It matches the Rfam family "Bacterial small subunit ribosomal RNA", at positions 338 to 795 of the family's 1533-position model. Lineage: Bacteria; Pseudomonadati; Pseudomonadota; Gammaproteobacteria; Enterobacterales; Enterobacteriaceae. The record is from RNAcentral.